GACGAACGUUGGCGGCGUGCUUAAUACAUGCAAGUCAACUGAAGCAGUGGUAGCAAUAUCGCUGUGGAGGUGGCGCACGGGUGAGUAACACGUAGGUAAUCUGCCUUCAGGUCUGGCAUAACUCCGGGAAACCGGGGCUAAUAGCAGAUGAUGCAGCGGCUCGACAUCGAGACAGUUGUUAAAGCUAUGGCGCCUGAAGAUGAGCCUGCGUCUGAUUAGCUAGUUGGCGGGGUAACGGCCCACCAAGGCAACGAUCAGUAGCUGGUCUGAGAGGAUGAUCAGCCACACUGGAACUGAGACACGGUCCAGACUCCUACGGGAGGCAGCAGUAAGGAAUAUUGCUCAAUGAGAGAAAUCCUGAAGCAGCAACGCCGCGUGAGGGACGAAGGGCUUUCGCUUGUAAACCUCUGUAGUGAGAGAAAAAAAUCCCAAGCUUUGGGACAUGAUGGUAUCUCAAAAGUAAGCCCCGGCUAACUACGU
Molecule: ribosomal RNA, 480 nt
Filed under: uncultured bacterium
Lineage: Bacteria
Description: partial 16S ribosomal RNA
Rfam family: Bacterial small subunit ribosomal RNA
Source: RNAcentral